Molecule: long non-coding RNA, 501 nt
Organism: Cyprinus carpio carpio
Lineage: Eukaryota; Metazoa; Chordata; Actinopteri; Cypriniformes; Cyprinidae
Source: Ensembl
CUCUCCCACUGCUUGUCAGAAGAAAGGACAGAAAGGAGCGGCGCGCGAGGCGGCGAAUCGGUCAGCAGACACGCGAUUCCCGCGCUUCCAGCAGCUCGCGCUGUGCAGAUAACGCGGAAAUGUCAACGGUUUGACAGGCUUCCGACGCGUUACUCCCUUUCAUCUCCGCCGUUGACAGCGCAGUUUAAAGCUCUUUUUUGUACUUGUAUCUAAAUUUGUGUUUUUGGAAUGAGAAAUCACUGAGCAGGAACGCAUGUUUUCAUGGGCUCGCGAAGGAGGGAAAAGAUGAAAAGCUGUUUUUACCUCACAAGACUCCCUGUGAUCUGAGAAAACAAAAGCAGAAGUUGUGCCCUUGUGUGUUUGUAGAUUGUAUUUUAUGGAAGGUCAUUAGACAACAGUGAUAUUUCACACACUCCGCCGCUGCAGGGCACACUCUGGUUCACGUGAAACCCUGCAAGAGGAAUGGGAAAAGCUAAGGAUGUCUCUAUGGAGAGAGCAGAA